Coturnix japonica (Japanese quail) is the source of this 1207-nucleotide non-coding RNA. Lineage: Eukaryota; Metazoa; Chordata; Aves; Galliformes; Phasianidae. The record is from RefSeq and is a predicted model, not a curated record.
GAUCCCUGCCUACCUGAGGCCUUCUGAAGCAAAUGAAGCCUCCAGGCAGAGCACACUGCUUUUCCACAGCCACUGGGAACUUCUGCAUACAGCUCAGCCUCUGCCAUCCAACCAAAAAGUACUGUGAGGUGAUCUUGGGCCAGGCCAGGCUCAAUCACCACAAAAGCAACCAGAAAAUCCAUGCAUUCUGACCAGGAACAGUUGAAAAAGUGGGGGAAGCAGAGAAGCCCCAGCUAGCAAUUCCUCAGGACUAUCAUAAUUCAACACUGAUUACAAAGAGCUACAGAAAGGUUUGCUCGUUAGAUUUUGUGAAACAGUAAAAAACAGGCAAAGAAGAAAGCACCCCUGACUGCACAGUCACAGCUUGUAAUGUAGCUAACAAUGCUCGGGAUCCAGAAGUCACUGCAGGCAGUUCUGCAAAUGUCAGCUCUGUGUGCAGCACAAAGCUAAGCUUCCUUUGGCCCUCCUGCCCUCAGCUCAAGCUGUUACCUGAUGGCUGAGUUGGUGUUACGGACUUCCUCCUCCUCAUCAUCAUCGUAGUCAUCUUCAUCAUCUGAGUACUGCUGGUGCUGUCGGACUGGGACCCGGCUGCGACCCACUCCUGCUGCAAGGUCUUCCUCCUCCUGCAAAACACCAUUGCUGAUGCCGUCUCCUACAGCUGGGUAAGGGGGAAGAGCCCAGCUGACAGCAUCUGUGGUCCACUCAAGCACCAGGAACCUGAGAGCAUCGGCAGCCAGAAGGAACCCAAGCUUGCAGUUUAUGUGUCUAAGCCCUGCUGGAUUGUGUACAGCCAGGUCAGCAGGAAAAAAGGGAGCUGAGCUCUGUUCUUUUGUCACCUACAUCCUUCAAGCCAGAUCCUUCCUAUUCCUGCCCACAGGAAGCUCUUUCCUUUGGGCUUUGCUCACACAGCCUUUAUUUUAUGCUCAGAUCUGGUGUGUUUGUUUCUACUCCUGCACAGCCCCUCUUCAUGCCAGGACCCAAGUUCCCAGAGCAACACAGCGAACCACAUCAGCUAAGGGACCCACAUUAAAGCCAGCUUCCUUUGUCAGGCAUUUACAAUACAACUGAUCAACUGGGCUUGGAGAAAAGAAAGUAAAGCUGACCAUAGAAGUUCCUCAGGCUCUAAGUAAGCCAGAGAUUGUCAUCAGCCAGUGCCAACGACUCUUUGCUCCAUAGCAGGUUGGAAUGGCUCACAGCACCAUGGGAA